Molecule: long non-coding RNA, 573 nt
Filed under: Chloebia gouldiae (Gouldian finch)
Lineage: Eukaryota; Metazoa; Chordata; Aves; Passeriformes; Passeridae
Description: Erythrura gouldiae (Gouldian finch) lncRNA (ENSEGOG00005014774.1)
Source: RNAcentral
UGGGAGCUGCAGGAUUCGUUCUGUCUCCUGUGGAAGGAAAACACAGCUCUGCAUCUUCCUGUGCCAGCAAAGGAAUCAGUUCUGGAAUACAGCAAGUGUGACAAUGCCUUUCCUGAGUCAGGAAAGUCAUGGCAUGGAGUUGUUUUUCAUCUGAAGGCCCUCAGACCCUCUGAGCAGCUCCCUGGGGAUUCCGAGUGGACAGAAACAGCCUCUGCCACAGCUUUGUUAGCCAAGCACGGAAUUCAACUUGUUAUUUUCACUUGCCUGUGCUGGCUCACAAGUGACUCAGAAUUUGAUCAAUACUGCUGGUGGCUGUUGGUGCAGCAACUGAUGGGGAGCUGGAGGAGAAUUAUUCUGCUGAAAGCCUCGAGAAAAAUCAGUCAGAGAAGGCUGUGCCGCCAGAGCCCCAUCCCGUCACGCUCAGACAAAAUCCUCAGAAAUCCCACCUUAAAAACCACACUGGAAACACCAGGAGGAAAGUAUCAAGACAAGCAGUCCUUGGGAAUGUAUGGAAUUGACACAGAAGUCAUGGAGCAACUGAGCAGUGACAGGACUGGAAAGUCUCACUUGUAG